UCCGUAGGCGGGUAAUUAAGUCAGAGGUGAAGUCCCACAGCUUAACUGUGGAACUGCCUUAGAUACUGGUUAUCUUGAGUUUUAGUGAAGUAGAUAGAAUGUGUAGUGUAGCGGUGAAAUGCAUAGAUAUUACACAGAAUACCGAUUGCGAAGGCAGUCUACUAACUAACAACUGACGCUAAUGGACGAAAGCGUGGGGAGCGAACAGGAUUAGAUACCCUGGUAGUCC
This 229-nucleotide ribosomal RNA is filed under the name uncultured bacterium. RNAcentral describes it as "partial 16S ribosomal RNA". It matches the Rfam family "Bacterial small subunit ribosomal RNA", at positions 568 to 796 of the family's 1533-position model. The record is from RNAcentral.